RNAcentral lists this ribosomal RNA (432 nucleotides) under uncultured bacterium. Its description in RNAcentral is "bacterial SSU rRNA". It matches the Rfam family "Bacterial small subunit ribosomal RNA", at positions 340 to 784 of the family's 1533-position model. The record is from RNAcentral.
UACGGAAGGCAGCAGUGGGGAAUAUUGGACAAUGGGCGAAAGCCUGAUCCAGCCAUGCCGCAUGAGUGAAGAAGGCCUUCGGGUUGUAAAGCUCUUUUAGUGAGAAAGAUAAUGACGGUACUCACAGAAGAAGUCCUGGCUAACUCCGUGCCAGCAGCCGCGGUAAUACGGAGAGGGCUAGCGUUAUUCGGAAUUAUUGGGCGUAAAGAGCGCGUAGGCUGAUUUAGUAAGUUAAAAGUGAAAUCCCAAAGCUUAACUUUGGAAUUGCUUUUUAAAACUGCUAGUCUAGAGAUUGAAAGAGGAUAGAGGAAUUCCUAGUGUAGAGGUGAAAUUCGUAAAUAUUAGGAGGAACACCAGUGGCGAAGGCGUCUAUCUGGUUCAAAUCUGACGCUGAGGCGCGAAGGGCGUGGGGAGCAAACGAGGGAUUAGAUA